RNAcentral lists this unclassified non-coding RNA (436 nucleotides) under Hevea brasiliensis (rubber tree). Lineage: Eukaryota; Viridiplantae; Streptophyta; Magnoliopsida; Malpighiales; Euphorbiaceae. The record is from RNAcentral.
GAAAAGACUGACGGAGUUGUACCAGUGGGAAACUCAGUCCAUCCUGCACUUUCAGUACUAUUGACAUCAUAUACUUCCAGGAAUUCGCCUCUAAGCCCCACCUGGUAGGUCCAUAAAGAUGUUGUGAGAUUGAUAUCCCCGCUUUUGCAUCCUGUAAGCUUUAUCUGACCUUUAAAACCUGCCCCAUCCUUCUCCAAGAAGGCACCAUAAUUCUGCAAUCCCACCGUCUCAGAUAAUAGCAGUAUGUCGUUGUAUCCCUGAACCAGCUUAACAGGUUGAACCACCUUGAUCCAUUUGCCUUUCACACUACCUGCAAGCUGCCCAUUAACAAAAAUGCGAACAAAAUCACGCAUGCUAUCAAUAUCAAUUGUUGGACUAACAUCAUUUUCCUCCCAAAAUGAGAUGUCAUCAUCAGAAAUAUAUAUCCUGGUCAGAU